ACUGACCAUGGGAUGUGGAAAUGAAUUCUAUUCCUGGUAGACCUACUGUGUUGUGGAGCCAUCCUAUUUCCAGUAGUAUGCUAUUAUCCUAGCAAAGCUGAAGCUGUUCAGACAUUACUACAUUAUGCUGUUGGAUGAAAUGGCAACGUUUGUGUUCUUUGUUCUUACGGGGUACAAGUUCUGUCCGGCAACCCUUACCUACAUCUCUCUUAGGACGAUGAAGAUGACUUGAAGGUGGAAGCUGUGGUGGCUACUUCAGGGGUGAUGAAAAGCAGGGAGAAGGUCAAGAAAGCGGUAAAUGUUCAGCAGAACCCGGGCACAAGUGGAAGAACACAGUACGAGGGGCCGAUUCCCCUGGACCAAAGCAGCACUUUCCGAGAAAAUGUUACUGUACUAAUACUACGCCGUGGAAAGGGAGCAACCUGAGCUUCCCAACGCUGGGACUGCAGACUGGGGGUGUGGGGGGGAGCAAAACGUUGCAAAAAGCUAAUUAUUCCUCUUUUAAGGAUAUGGGCUUAUUAUGGGAUAGUGUUACACACAAGGAAUCUGGAGCGUUCUUAGGGAUGCUGGGUGGCUUAUUUGCUUCACACACACACACACACACACACACACACACACCCCUCUUUCUGGAACUAUUAGGACUUCUAAAUUGUUUGCAGUUGUGUUCUCUGGGGUGUGUAAUAUCAAUGUGAAGAGUAUAGUGUGUGUGGGUAAAGUAGAUAUUUAUAUAAUGCAUAUACACACAUGCUGUGUGACACCUGCGCUGGAAAUUAUGAAGUGUCAUGAAAGGUGGGGAAGUGGGAGGGGCCAUCAGAGGAGCUCGUUCUUGUGGAAUGAAAAGGUGGGAGAACCGCUGAAAGAAUUCUGUGACUAGCCUCUACUACAGCACAAGUCUCCCCUCUUUUUAUAUUGAGCCAUAUUGCCUCUCUUGCGGGUGGCCUCUUGCUUCUAGCUAGGAUGUGUAGCAUCAAUGAGACUGCUGCCUAAGCAGUUGAAUCAGUCAGGAAGGCAUAUAGACUGCAGCUACCAGAUACCAGGCCUUCUUCUUCAUGAAGAGAUCUGGACAUUCAGUGUUGACGGCGCUUCUACAGAAGAAUGGCAGUGUCGGGUUCCAUCAUGUAAAUGUGCUAGCACCUCUCAGAUCACAAACCCACUAGGGAUCGGAUUUGGUGAAUGACAGUUGCAGAACUCAAGUCUCCAGGGACUGGAGAAUUGGAACCACUGGGAGCUUUGUCCUUUCAAUAAAGACUGGAACAGGAUGCA
Chrysemys picta bellii (western painted turtle) is the source of this 1263-nucleotide long non-coding RNA. Lineage: Eukaryota; Metazoa; Chordata; Testudines; Emydidae. The record is from Ensembl.